CAUUGGAAAAGCAACUCAGGUUUAGUAAGACGUUCCACCCUCAGACAGAUGGGUAGAUAAAGAGGCUUAAUCAGACCUACAAUAGUAGUUAUCAAGCGAAUAUUUAGAUGACACCAUUCGAAACUCAGGUUUAGUACGACAUUCCACCCUCAGACAGGUUGACAAGAAAUAGCUUAUCGGGCCGAAGUUGGUACAAACUACUAAUGUGGUAGUACAAAAAAUCAGACAGAGGAUACUCUUUGCACAAAGUCGACAAAAAAGUUAUGCAAACUCUUAGGAAAGACCUCGAGUUUGUAGUGGGUGAUCACGUCUUUUUGAAAGUAGCCCCCAUGAAAGGAGUGCUGAGGUUUGGGAAGAAGGGCAAGCUAAUCCCGAGGUUUGUGAAAUCCUAAAAAGGGUAGAGCCCAUGGCUAUAGACUAACAUUACCACCCACCUUCGCUGCGGUGCACAAUGUAUUCCAUGCAUUGAUUUUGAGGAAGUACACUCCAGAUCCCACUCACAUCAUUGAUCAUGAAAUACUUCCUCUCUGAAAGAACCUAUUGUACGAAGAAAACCCAUCAGAAUAAUGGCCCGUGACGUGAGGAAACUACAUAGAAGGGAGAUUUCCUUAGUCAAAGUCAUAUAGAAAAAUCAUCGGGACAAUGAAGCCACCUGGGAACGUGAAGAUGACAUGAGGAGGUCUUACCCUGAACUCUUUCAAGGAGGAUCAACUUUCGGGGAUAAAAGUUCCUUAGAAGGGGAGAAUUGUAACACCCGAGCUUAGGAGGCCGAGGAGACCCAAGCUCGAGUCGAUGAAGAAGGAGAACAAAGAAAUCAAUCGCCUCAAAUUCACCAUUGGAGAUUGAAUCCAAAGUAAGAAAUUUUCAAUCAAGACUCCUCUCGGUCCUGGAGGAAUGGUUUGGGUGGUGGAAUCGUCAAUUUCGGAAAGAAAUUCGAGAAUGAACAAGAUACAGAGGUGAAGGUGGGAACUUCAAUUCCAUUAACUUGUAUUGAAGUUUGCGGAAACGACAGCGACGCUGAAAAUGAUAAAUGCAUACAGUUAUGUUCUAGAAGAGGAUUUCAACAUGGAGUAUGUAUUCCAAACCCAACAAACAUAAUUUGUUGUUGUGACCCUUAAUUUUGGUUCAACUUUAAUUCCUUUCUUUGCAAAAGAUAUGAAAUUAUCAAUAAAAUUAUAAACUUAUCUUUC
Molecule: long non-coding RNA, 1190 nt
Organism: Cucurbita moschata (crookneck pumpkin)
Lineage: Eukaryota; Viridiplantae; Streptophyta; Magnoliopsida; Cucurbitales; Cucurbitaceae
Exons: 3
Source: RefSeq, a predicted model, not a curated record